This 557-nucleotide ribosomal RNA is filed under the name Phanerochaete sordida. RNAcentral describes it as "partial large subunit ribosomal RNA". It matches the Rfam family "Eukaryotic large subunit ribosomal RNA", at positions 109 to 651 of the family's 3401-position model. Lineage: Eukaryota; Fungi; Basidiomycota; Agaricomycetes; Polyporales; Phanerochaetaceae. The record is from RNAcentral.
UCAAAUUUAAAAUCUGGCAGCCUUGGCUGUCCGAGUUGUAAUCUGGAGAAGCGUCUUCCGCGCUGGACCGUGUACAAGUCUCCUGGAACGGAGCGUCAUAGAGGGUGAGAAUCCCGUCUUUGACACGGACUACCAGUGCUCUGUGAUGCGCUCUCAAAGAGUCGAGUUGUUUGGGAAUGCAGCUCAAAAUGGGUGGUAAACUCCAUCUAAAGCUAAAUAUUGGCGAGAGACCGAUAGCGAACAAGUACCGUGAGGGAAAGAUGAAAAGCACUUUGGAAAGAGAGUUAAACAGUACGUGAAAUUGCUGAAAGGGAAACGCUUGAAGUCAGUCGCGUUUGCUAGGACUCAGCCUUGCCUCGGCUUGGUGCAUUUCCUAGUAGACGGGCCAGCAUCACUUUUGGCUGCGGGAAAAAGGUUAGAGGAAUGUGGCACCCUCGGGUGUGUUAUAGCCUCUAGCUGUAUACCGUGGCUGGGAGUGAGGAACUCAGCACGCCUUCUGGCGGGGCUUCGGCCACCUUCGUGCUUAGGAUGCUGGCGUAAUGGCUUUAAACGACCCG